Molecule: ribosomal RNA, 509 nt
Filed under: uncultured bacterium
Lineage: Bacteria
Description: bacterial SSU rRNA
Rfam family: Bacterial small subunit ribosomal RNA
Source: RNAcentral
UGUUUGAUCCUGGCUCAGAAUGAACGCUGGCGGCGUGCCUAACACAUGCAAGUCGUACGAGAAAGACUGUUUUCGGAUGGUCGAGUAAAGUGGCGCACGGGUGAGUAACGCGUAGGUAACCUACCCUUGUAUUGGGGAUAACAGGACGAAAGUUCUGCUAAUACCGGAUGUGACCUGGGGCUGGAGGGUUUCAGGUUAAAGUGGGCCUCUCGAAGAAGCUCAUGUACAGGGAUGGGCCUGCGUCCUAUCAGCUUGUUGGUGGGGUAAUGGCCUACCAAGGCGACGACGGGUAGCUGGUCUGAGAGGAUGAUCAGCCACACUGGCACUGGAACACGGGCCAGACUCCUACGGGAGGCAGCAGUGAGGAAUUUUGCGCAAUGGGAGCAAUCCUGACGCAGCAACGCCGCGUGGGUGAAGAAGGCCUUCGGGUCGUAAAGCCCUGUCAGGUGGGAAGAAGGGUCCUAUCAGGAAAGGGGUGGAUUGACGUACCACCAGAGAGCACCGACUCC